Molecule: ribosomal RNA, 489 nt
Filed under: uncultured bacterium
Lineage: Bacteria
Description: bacterial SSU rRNA
Rfam family: Bacterial small subunit ribosomal RNA
Source: RNAcentral
GAUGAACGCUAGCGGCAGGCUUAACACAUGCAAGUCGAGGGGUAGAGGAAGCUUGCUUCCUUGAGACCGGCGCACGGGUGCGUAACGCGUAUACAAUCUACCUUUUACAGAGGGAUAGCCCAGAGAAAUUUGGAUUAAUACCUCAUAGUAUUUUUGAAUCGCAUGAUUUGAUUAUUAAAGUUCCAACGGUAAAGAUGAGUAUGCGUCCAUUAGCUAGAUGGUAAGGUAACGGCUUACCAAGGCUACGAUGGGUAGGGGUCCUGAGAGGGAGAUCCCCCACACUGGUACUGAGACACGGACCAGACUCCUACGGAGGCAGCAGUGAGGAAUAUUGGACAAUGGGCGCAAGCCUGAUCCAGCCAUGCCGCGUGCAGGAUGACGGUCCUAUGGAUUGUAAACUGCUUUUAUACAGGAAGAAACACUCCGACGUGUCGGAGCUUGACGGUACUGUAAGAAUAAGGAUCGGCUAAACUCCGUGCCAGCAGCCGC